UCCUCCGGCACCGGCUGAUGGUGUUGCCUAGGGAGAGGGAUCCUCUUGGUGACACAGAUGUUGUGGAGGACAGUGCACGCUGCUAUUACGAUGCAGACUCGCUCAGGGUGCAUCCGCAUCUCUCCAUGAAGACAAUGAAACCUAGAAAAAAGAAUUAAUGAUUAGGCUAUUGUAAAACCUAAAUGUGUCACGUUUGGCGAGUUUUAUAUAGCCUAGGCCUAGUCUAUUUAUAUAGUUUUCAGUGAUCUAGUGACCACACUAUAUCAGCACCAUGGAUAGCGGCACAGACACGCGGAAAGAAUUUUACCUGCGCUUGAGGACUCCGAUGCACCGCUCAACGAGGGACCUAGUGGUGGUGUGGAUGGUGUUAUACCGUCGUUCUUGCUCAGUCCUCGGAGCAAUUAUAGGAGUCAUCAGCCAGUGUUUCAGUGGGUAUCCACUGUCACCGAGAAGCAGCCCAUUUACUCUUCCAGCCUCGAAAUCCUGGUAUAACGCACUCUCUCGGAGGAUGCGUGCGUCAUGGGUAGAUCCAGGCCAUCUUGCCACCAAAUUAAAGAUGUUAUAAUUGGCGUCACAAGCAAUCUGCACAUUGAUUGAAUGGUAUCCCUUGCGGUUGACAUACAGAUACUCAUGCUCAGAUGGUGCCUGGAUCCGGAUGUGAGUCCCAUCGAUGCAGCCCACAAUACCAGGAAUGCCAGAGGCCCGGAGGAAUCGGUGUUUCAUCACCGCAGACUUGGCCUCAGUGGGGAGGUGUUGAUGGUCAGACUCUGACAGAAUCUGAACCAGUGGUUAAAAGGCCUGGAGAAUCCCACAGAUUGACCUGUACAGCCUCUGGAUUCACAUUCAGCAGCUACGGGAUGCACUGGAUCAGACAGGCUCCUGGAAAAGGACUGGAGUGGAUCGCUUAUAUAAGCACAGCUAGUACUCCCAUCUCUUACUCCCAGUCAGUCCAGGGUAGAUUCACCAUCUCCAGAGAUGACUCCAGCAGUAAAGUCUAUCUACAGAUGAACAAUCUGAAAACAGAGGACACAGCAGUGUAUUACUGUGCCAGAGAGACACAGUGAAAGACAAUAACAGGAGAGUCAUACAAAAACUACUUCCUCUAUUUACCACCACUGAGAACAUUCAGUAUUAUAAUAUUAUCAGUAUAUUUAAUUUCCACUACCACUGUGAUUGAAAGUAAACAUAAAUGUUAACAGUACUGUACAGAGUACAGAGUCAACACUUGAAGUCACAGAGUCACUCUCUGUUAAAUACAGGCACAUUUUAGGGUGCAACAUAAAAUUAGUAACACACUCCAUCAUGAAGCAGAGGUGUUUUCCAGGCAGAUUUUUUUCACUCUGCACAGACAAUAUCAAAACAAAAAGUACUUUAAGUGGAUAUGGUAUUAUUAAACGCUGAUAGAACUGAAAUCCAAUUAUCACUAUUUAAAUAAUAAACAGAUGUUGUCAUUU
This is a non-coding RNA of Micropterus dolomieu (smallmouth bass), 1454 nucleotides long. Lineage: Eukaryota; Metazoa; Chordata; Actinopteri; Centrarchiformes; Centrarchidae. The record is from the annotation of a RefSeq genome assembly.